Molecule: microRNA precursor, 68 nt
Organism: Culex quinquefasciatus (southern house mosquito)
Lineage: Eukaryota; Metazoa; Arthropoda; Insecta; Diptera; Culicidae
Rfam family: mir-87 microRNA precursor family
Source: Rfam
CUCUGGCCAGCCUGAAGUUUGCUAAACCUGGUUCGUCAAGGUGAGCAAAUUUUCAGGUGUGUCGGAGA